UACGAAGGGUGCAAGCGUUACUCGGAAUUACUGGGCGUAAAGCGUGCGUAGGUGGUGAGUUAAGUCUGUCGUGAAAGCCCCGGGCUCAACCUGGGAAUGGCGAUGGAUACUGGCUCGCUAGAGUGCGGUAGAGGAGAGUGGAAUUCCCGGUGUAGAGGUGAAAUUCGUAGAUAUCGGGAGGAACACCGGCGGCGAAGGCGGCCCUCUGGAUCGUUGCUGACGCUGAGACGCGAAAGCGUGGGGAGCAAACAGG
This 253-nucleotide ribosomal RNA is filed under the name uncultured bacterium. Its description in RNAcentral is "partial 16S ribosomal RNA". It matches the Rfam family "Bacterial small subunit ribosomal RNA", at positions 524 to 776 of the family's 1533-position model. The record is from RNAcentral.